AUGGCUUCCAUGGGAAACUUUCUUCCUGAUGAGUCAACAAACUCCAAAGGCUGUUCAUGGCAGAUCAAUUGCAGCAAGAACAGACCAUCAAUUACCAUUAUCCAUGACAAGGUAUCAUCAUGGAUAUCCAAGUGCUCAUGGUAAUACCCUCGAACAUCUUUAACUUUUCUCUUAAGUUGAUCAAAGAGAAGCUGAAAUUCAGGAAGUUUUAGUCGCUGAUGAACAAUCUGAACCUCAUGAAGCUUGCACUUCU
This 253-nucleotide unclassified non-coding RNA is filed under the name Hevea brasiliensis (rubber tree). Lineage: Eukaryota; Viridiplantae; Streptophyta; Magnoliopsida; Malpighiales; Euphorbiaceae. The record is from RNAcentral.